GACGAACGCUGGCGGCGUGCUUAACACAUGCAAGUCGAACGGAAAGGCCCUGCUUUUGUGGGGUGCUCGAGUGGCGAACGGGUGAGUAACACGUGAGUAACCUGCCCUUGACUUUGGGAUAACUUCAGGAAACUGGGGCUAAUACCGGAUAGGAGCUCCUGCUGCAUGGUGGGGGUUGGAAAGUUUCGGCGGUUGGGGAUGGACUCGCGGCUUAUCAGCUUGUUGGUGGGGUAGUGGCUUACCAAGGCUUUGACGGGUAGCCGGCCUGAGAGGGUGACCGGCCACAUUGGGACUGAGGUACGGCCCAGACUCCUACGGGAGGCAGCAGUGGGGAAUAUUGCACAAUGGGCUGAAGCCUGAUGCAGCAACGCCGCGUGCGGGAUGACGGCCUUCGGGUUGUAAACCGCUUUCGCCUGUGACGAAGCGUGAGUGACGGUAAUGGGUAAAGAAGCACCGGCUAACUACGUG
RNAcentral lists this ribosomal RNA (468 nucleotides) under uncultured bacterium. RNAcentral describes it as "partial 16S ribosomal RNA". It matches the Rfam family "Bacterial small subunit ribosomal RNA", at positions 28 to 507 of the family's 1533-position model. The record is from RNAcentral.